This 392-nucleotide ribosomal RNA is filed under the name uncultured bacterium. RNAcentral describes it as "bacterial SSU rRNA". It matches the Rfam family "Bacterial small subunit ribosomal RNA", at positions 30 to 425 of the family's 1533-position model. The record is from RNAcentral.
AUUGAACGCUGGCGGCAUGCCUUACACAUGCAAGUCGAACGGCAGCGGACCUUCGGGUGCCGGCGAGUGGCGAACGGGUGAGUAAUAUAUCGGAACGUACCUUUCAGUGGGGGAUAACGUAGCGAAAGUUACGCUAAUACCGCAUAUUCUGUGAGCAGGAAAGCAGGGGAUCGCAAGACCUUGCGCUGAUUGAGCGGCCGAUAUCAGAUUAGCUAGUUGGUGAGGUAAAGGCUCACCAAGGCGACGAUCUGUAGCGGGUCUGAGAGGAUGAUCCGCCACACUGGAACUGAGACACGGUCCAGACUCCUACGGGAGGCAGCAGUGGGGAAUUUUGGACAAUGGGCGCAAGCCUGAUCCAGCCAUGCCGCGUGAGUGAAGAAGGCCUUCGGUUG